GCUGGGUGUGGGUGUGGUGGUGCACACCUGUAAUCCCAGCAACUCAGGAGGCUGAGGCAAGAGGAUCAAGUUCAGCAAGUUCAACACCAGCCUCAGUAACUCAGUGAGACCCUGUCUUUU
This 120-nucleotide small RNA is filed under the name Marmota monax (woodchuck). The record is from RNAcentral. Lineage: Eukaryota; Metazoa; Chordata; Mammalia; Rodentia; Sciuridae.